AUUGAACGCUGGCGGCAUGCCUAACACAUGCAAGUCGAACGGCAGCGGGUGUGGUAGUAAUACCAUAUGCCGGCGAGUGGCGGACGGGUGAGUAAUGCAUAGGAAUCUGCCUAAUAGACUGGGACAACUUGGGGAAACUUGAGCUAAUACCGGAUAAUCUCUACGGAGGAAAGGAUGGGACUUGAAAGAGCCAUUCGCUAAUAGAUGAGCCUAUGUCGGAUUAGCUAGUUGGUGGGGUAAAGGCCUACCAAGCGAUGAUCUGUAGCUGGUCUGAGAGGAUGGACAGCCACACUGGGACUGAGACACGGCCCAGACUCCUACGGGAGGCAGCAGUGGGGAAUAUUGGACAA
RNAcentral lists this ribosomal RNA (350 nucleotides) under uncultured bacterium. RNAcentral's name for it is "bacterial SSU rRNA". It matches the Rfam family "Bacterial small subunit ribosomal RNA", at positions 30 to 371 of the family's 1533-position model. The record is from RNAcentral.